RNAcentral lists this ribosomal RNA (500 nucleotides) under uncultured bacterium. RNAcentral's name for it is "partial 16S ribosomal RNA". It matches the Rfam family "Bacterial small subunit ribosomal RNA", at positions 28 to 507 of the family's 1533-position model. The record is from RNAcentral.
GACGAACGCUGGCGGCGUGCCUAAUACAUGCAAGUCGAGCGGACUGAUUAAGAGCUUGCUCUUAUGACGUUAGCGGCGGACGGGUGAGUAACACGUGGGCAACCUGCCCUGUAGAUCGGGAUAACACCGAGAAAUCGGUGCUAAUACCGGGUAAUAUCUGAGAUCACAUGAUCUUAGGUUAAAAGAUGGCUCCGGCUAUCACUACAGGAUGGGCCCGCGGCGCAUUAGCUAGUUGGUAAGGUAAUGGCUUACCAAGGCGACGAUGCGUAGCCGACCUGAGAGGGUGAUCGGCCACACUGGGACUGAGACACGGCCCAGACUCCGACGGGAGGCAGCAGUAGGGAAUCUUCCGCAAUGGACGAAAGUCUGACGGAGCAACGCCGCGUGAGUGAUGAAGGGUUUCGGCUCGUAAAGCUCUGUUGUUAGGGAAGAAACAGUACCGAACGAACUAGGUCGGUACCUUGACGGUACCUAACCAGAAAGCCACGGCUAACUACGUG